Molecule: long non-coding RNA, 1783 nt
Organism: Aquila chrysaetos chrysaetos
Lineage: Eukaryota; Metazoa; Chordata; Aves; Accipitriformes; Accipitridae
Exons: 3
Source: RefSeq, a predicted model, not a curated record
UUCCGUGUCCUGUGUGCAGUGGAUGUACACAAAAGUUUUUCUUUAUAGCUACCUUUUAGAGUUUAAACAUUGUUAUUUCUCUUCAGUGUUGCCCUUUCCAGGUUAAGCAGCUGUUUUUCAAUUUAUACUUUGAAGUCAGACAUCUGUACAUCAUUGAGCACUGCCUUGGACUUCCCGUAGACUCUCACCAGUUGUACUACACCCUUCUUGAAAAGCAGUACAUCAUCUGGAGGGUUCAACAGCUAAUCCGUGCAAAUGUAGUGCUGCAAAAAUAAAGCUUGGAUGUACUGACUCAAGCGUGAUGUGUGACGAGGAAUCACUGGGCCUUUUAAUUAGUGAGAAACAGUACAUAACAACGAGGUGGCAGAAAUAGGACAUGAGGCUGGCCUACUGGUCUUUAAGCCUGCAGUGCAGCUCUGUGGGCAUUGGAUGACUAAAGAAAAGCAUGAGGCAUGGGAGAGAACUGCUGCUGGACCUUAGUGGAAGAUGGCAAAUGAUCUGGAGAGAGGUUUUCAAAGUCAGGAAUUAAAGUCAGGUGCCCAGUUCCAGAUUGCCUGUGAAAUCACUGUGUACUUCCCUUGCUUGUGUAACUUUGUGUUGUGUAUUGUCUAGCAGCUUUUAUUUCAAAGUUAACAAGGUUACGCUUGUGUGAUAGGUGAUGUAAUGAUCUCGUAAUAAUAGGCAAAAUCCAAGUCAUGGAAAAUGUCAGCAUUUGAAACAGAGCCCUGAUAAAUUAUUAAUGCCUUAUACAACUGCUGCUUACCAUGCCUUCCAUGUUACAGCUGUCUUAAUCAUUGAUGCUGUUUCCUCAGACCUGGAGCUGUAAUAUCUGAUUUUUGUUUCAGGGUAUAUUAUGAAGUUGCUGAUGGUACUGCCUUAGCCCUUUGGCUAAAAAGAGUAGCAAAUAAUUUGUGGAUUAUCAGUAUGAGCAGCAGUCAAAGAGUGUUCUUUUCAAAUCAAUAGAGAAGAAAGCUGCACCACUUUGGGUUCCCUAAUACCAAAGGUCUUUCUCACAUUUAUUGAUCCUUUUGUAUUUUCCUCCUUGUUCAGGAUCAGUUGAUGACUGGAGUGAACUGUCACAUCUUUGAAAACUGCUUGUAACUGUGGAAAAGAGAUUAACACAUAUCUUUCUCAGUGACAACUAUUGAACUGAAAGUUUUAUUUUCACAUAUCCUGGAUAUCAGAAAUGAUAGGACUAAAUAAAUUGUCAGAGAUUUGAAUUUACAAGUCUACUGAAGCUUUUAAGUGCCUGAUUAAGAGCAGAAGAAACCCUACUGAAUUCAGGUGGGACCAUGUUUUUGUGAAGCAGCGCAUCUGGGUUUAGUACACUUAACACUAGUUUAGAAAUGCUGUAACUACGUGAUGUAAAACAGUGAAAUCACGUGACGUUGCUCUUCUAACUUGUUUUGUGAAUAAAUUUCAAAUGAGCAAUUUGUCCUAGCAGAUUCUGUGAUGGAUCAUGUACUGUCUCCUCCCCCAUAAAGCAUAAAAACUGUCAUAAAUAUCAGAUUGUAAGUUCUGGCUCAAUCAAAAGAAAUUUGCUUACACCUCAUCAAGAGGAAAUUUCAACUUCUAGGUGAUCCAGUAGUACACAGAUCUAAUAAUAAUGAAAAUCGAACUACAGCUUCUACACUUCGUUGGACUGAAUCCACAAUGUACAGUACCUCACAUGUGCAAGCUUAGCUGUAACCAACUAUUUUUGCCCCAUUGGGCAGACUUUGGUGUCGUGUAUCUGCUGGUCCUGCUCUGUCUGCCUCCACCACGGACGAAAUGGCUUUGCUCC